Molecule: ribosomal RNA, 425 nt
Filed under: uncultured bacterium
Lineage: Bacteria
Description: partial 16S ribosomal RNA
Rfam family: Bacterial small subunit ribosomal RNA
Source: RNAcentral
GUGGGGAAUCUUGCGCAAUGGGCGAAAGCCUGACGCAGCCAUGUCGCGUGGAUGAUGAAGGUCUUAGGAUUGUAAAAUCCUUUCACCGGUGAAGAUAAUGACUGUAGCCGGAGAAGAAGCCCCGGCUAACUUCGUGCCAGCAGCCGCGGUAAUACGAAGGGGGCUAGCGUUGCUCGGAAUUACUGGGCGUAAAGGGCGCGUAGGCGGACAGCUUAGUCAGAGGUGAAAGCCCAGGGCUCAACCUUGGAAUUGCCUUUGAUACUGGCUGUCUUGAGUGUGGGAGAGGUGAGUGGAACUCCGAGUGUAGAGGUGAAAUUCGUAGAGAUUCGGAAGAACACCAGUGGCGAAGACGACUCACUGGCCCAAUACUGACGCUGAGGCGCGAAAGCGUGGGGAGCAAACAGGAUUAGAAACCCCAGUAGUCC